Molecule: long non-coding RNA, 2872 nt
Organism: Camarhynchus parvulus
Lineage: Eukaryota; Metazoa; Chordata; Aves; Passeriformes; Thraupidae
Source: Ensembl
GGCGCGGGCCUGCGCCCCGGCCUCCCCAGGCGGCUGGCUGUCUGGGGUGGGUUACACGAGGAUUACCGUGCCGUGCUGCCGCGCCUUGAGCGAAGCGCCCGGGGGCGGGGGUUCCGACCCCCUCCUCCCUUGGCCCGCCCUGCUCCUCCUCCUCCUCCUCCUCCUCUUCCGUCAGCGGUCCCGAGGCGCCGGCGCGCCGUCGCUCUCGCUCCCCCCCGCCCGAGGCGUCGCGCAGCGCCGCCCGCCCGGCGGCGUCCUCCAGCAGGGGCGUCUCUGCCCGCGGGCCUUGCCUUUCCGGUUCGUUCGUCUCCGGGAUGGGGGCUGUCCGCCGUCUCCCCUCCCCGCUGGGGGCGGGGGGCGCGAGGCGGCGGCGUCCAGCCUUGGCGCCCGUGGCGCCAGCGGCGUGCGCAGCGGCGAGCUUUAGGCUUGCGACCUCCAGAUCCAGGCGUGGCGACCCGCUGAAUUUAAGCAUAUUAGUCAGCGGAGGGGAGGAAACUAGCGAGGAUUCCCUCAGUAGCGGCGGCGAAGGGGAAAAGCCCAGCGCCCGAAUCCCCGCCCAGCGGUGAGGCGCGGGGGACAUGUGGCGUACAAAGCCCCCUCCCCGGCGGCUCUCGGGGGACCCAAGUCCCUUGUGUCGAGGCCGCAGCCAGCGGGCGGUGUGAGGCGGUAGCGGCCCCGGCGCGCCGGGCCGGGGCCUCGGAGUCGGGUUGCUCGGGAAUGCAGCCCAAAGCGGGUGGUAAACUCCAUCUAAGGCUAAAUACCGGCGCGAGGCCGAUAGCCAACAAGUACCGUAAGGGAAAGUUGAAAAGAACUUUGAAGAGAGUUCAAGAGGGCGUGAAACCGUUAAGAGUAAGCGGGUGGGGCCCAGCGCAGUCCGCCCGGAGGAUUCAACCCGGCCAGCUUGCGGUGGCGGCGGCGCGAGUUGGCGGAUCCUCGCCUCCGCCUCCCCUCCGUCCCCAGGCGAACCCCGCCCGAGGCGGGCGAAAGCGGGCGGCGGGACGCCCGCCCGGCGGCGGCGGCCCUGGCGGCGCAUUUCCUCCGCGGCGGUGCGCCCGCGACCCGGCUCAGUGCGGCUGGGAAGGCCUCCGGCGGGCAGGUAGCCCGGCGCCCGCAGCGGCGGCGAGUAUUGAAACCCCGGGCAGCAGGUCUCGCCGAAUCCCGGGGCGGGGGAGGGCCCGCCGCCGCGCCCUCCCCCCCGGCGGGGGCCCUCUCCCUUUCUUCCCGGGGGUGCGGCUUGGGGCCCUCACGGCUUGUGGCCGGGAGUGGGAAAGGCCGGCCCGCCCGCCCCCGCCCGUUAGCCAAGGCGGACUGCGCUCAAUGCGCCCGACCCGCGGCGCCCCCCCGGGCCCGGAGCCCCGGCGGGCGUUCGGCGCCCAGGGGUCGCGGCGUUGUCGGCUACCCACCCGCCCGUCUUGAACACGGACCAAGGGAGUCUGCUGCGUUGCUGAAGUCAGGGCGUCGUAAUCCAUGCGGCGCAAUGGAAGGGUGAGCGGCGGUCAGGUGGGAUCCGAGGCGUUAUCGCCCUGGCAGCCGAGGCGCCCGGCCCGUCCGCCCCCCGCCCCUGCGGGGGGGAGUUGAGGCGUGGCGUCCGUGCUGGACCCGAAAGAUGGUGAACUAUGCCUGGGCGGGGGGCCAAGGGAAACUCUGGUGGAGGUCCGUAGCGGUCCUGGCGUGCAAAUCGGUGCGUCCGACCCGGGUCUGAGGCGAAAGACUAUUCGAACCAUCUAGUAGCUGGUUCCCUCGAAGUUUCCCUCAGGAUAGCUGGCACUUUCGGCAAUGGGCAGUUUUACCCGGUAAAGCGAAUGAUUAGGGGUCUUGGGGCGAAGCGAUCUCAACCUAUUCUCAAACUUUCAAUGGGUAAGGGGGCGGCUGCGCUGGCUGGAGCGCCGUGGAAUCGCGGUGCUCAGUGGGCCCUUUUGGUAAGCAGAACUGGCGCUGCGGGAUGAACGAGCGCGCGGUUAAAGGCGCCCGAUGCCGGCGCUCAUCAGAGCCCAGAAAAGGUGUUGGUUGAUCUAGACAGCAGGGCCGGUGGCCAUGGAAGUCGGAAUCCGCUAAGGGUGUGUAACAACUCACCUGCCGAAUCAACUAGCCCUGAAAAUGGAUGGCGCUGGAAGCGUCGGGCCCUUACCGGCCGUCGCCCGGCAGUCCGAUGCCAGCGGGGGCUAGGCGCGGCAGUAGGAGGGCGCUGCGGUGCGCGCCUCGAAGCCUGGGCGCGGGCCGGGUGGAGCCGCCGCGGGUGCAGAUCUUAGUGGUAGUAGCAAAUAUUCAAGCGAGAGCUUUGAAGGCGAGAAGUGGAGCAGGGUUCCAUGUGAACAGCAGUUGAACAUGGGUCAGUCGGUCCUAAGCGAUAGGCGGCGCCGUUCGAAGAGGCGGCGAUGGCCUCCGUUACCCUCAACCCGUCGAAGGGAGUGGGGUUCAGAUCCCCGAAUCGGGGUGGCGGGAGGCGGGCGCCCUUGGCGCCCAGUCGUGCAACUAACCGAUCCCGGGAAGCGGCGGGAGCCGGGGAGAGUUCUCUUUUCUUUGUGAAGGGCGGGCGCCCUGGAAUGGGUUCGCCCGAGAGGGGCCAGCGCCUUGGAAGCGUCGCGGUUCGGCGGCGUCGGUGAGCUCGCUGGCCCGUGAAAAUCCGGGGAAGGGUGUAAGUCUCGCGCCGGGCGUACCAUAUAUCGCAGCAGGUCUCCAAGGUGAACAGCCUCUGGCAUGUUGGAACAAUGUAGGUAAGGGAAGUCGGCAAGCGGAUCCGUAACCGGGAUAAGGAUUGGCUCUAAGGGCUGGGGUCGGGCUGGGGCGUGGCGAGGCUGAAGCGCCGCGCACUGGACGGCGCAGCGCGUGGUGAAUCGCGCUCAGCGUAGCCCGCCCGGCGCCCGAAGCGCCA